Molecule: non-coding RNA, 941 nt
Organism: Arachis ipaensis
Lineage: Eukaryota; Viridiplantae; Streptophyta; Magnoliopsida; Fabales; Fabaceae
Source: RefSeq, a predicted model, not a curated record
AUUUUGUAUAUUCCUAUAAUUUGUGAAAUCUGAAACAUAACAAUUUCUAUGAUUGUGAUAUAGAAUAAAUUCGUUUAUGAACUAUAUAUCUGAAUUGCUGAGAUUUUUUAUCUGGAAUUUGCAUGCAUGUUCUUGUUCCUUCCUGUUCUUGUUAUGACUGGUGAUUUAGGUCAUAAACACACUAAAGAGGGAUCAAACAAACCACCAUGGCUUAACCUCACCCAUUCACAGGUGUGAGGGAGUGAAAUACAAAAACCAGCUUCUUACUGUUCUCAACAUGAACAAUGUGAAGGUGCACUUUUUGGCUUGCUAAGAGGCAUCUUUCAGAACUCAUUACUAACUGGUCUAUAUAUGAUAAUAAGGUGCUUAUAUUGAAUGUAUCAAAUUUGAACUAAGUUUUAUGAUCUUACAUUCUUCAGUGCUUAGUAAACAGUUUUACAAUUAUUUAUUUCUUACCAAAGUUUCUUUUUCGGCUAUUAAUAAGAUAUAUGUCUACAUGUGUUGAAGAAUAGCUAAAUUGAUUUAGUGUUCAAUAAGAACAGCUACUGUGACUAUUUGAGCCUCAGAAGAUCGAAGAGGACCCAAUUUGAUUGAGGUAAUGCAAGAGAGAAACUUCUGGAUUCUAUUGAAGAUCUGAAACCAGACUCAAUUGUACUGGGAAGCAGGGGACUUAGCACAAUCCAAAGGUUGACGUCUAUACAUUAUCAAGAAAGUGGAAGGAGUUGGUUGAUAAGGCCCGGGCCAAGCAGCUCCAACCUCAUGAGUAUAGCACAGGACUUGGUUUACUCCAAAUAUACAAGCCCUCAGGAAUGGAUAAUCCUGGCACUGGCACUGGCACGCCACAUCAGGAAUGCACUAAAGGACUAUGAUGAUGAUGAGGAUGAAGAUGACACUGAAGACUAUAGCUAAUAGUUUUAGUAUGGUUGAAUAAUAUACUAGGA